GGGACGCGGCAGCCCAACCCGGAGGGCUGGGACCGGGAGGAGGGGAGGCCGGGGCAGGAAAUCGUGAGUAUGUCACCGAGCUGCCGGACGGGAGGCCGAUCUCUUCCAGGCCAGGACUGGGGAUUGCUCCGCGCUGUGAGUUUGCUGUGAGGCUUUCUCCCUCACUGCACUUGGGCGCGCGGGAGGAAGAAGAGGUGCUUCUGCGGGUGGCUCUCCGCGCAGCUGCGUCCCGCUGCGGGCUCGGGUCGCCCGGGCUGCGUGGGGGUGAGGAAAGGUUCGGGAAAUCUGCGUCCCGUAGUUUGCUGCAGCGAGGGUCGCAACACAUCUGCCCUUUGAAAGAACUUUCCGAGCGCCCACCCCGUCCUCGAACCCGGGGCGCCAGGGACGCUGCGGAACAGGUGACACGGUCCGAGGGCGCGACAGGGGACUCCGGAAAGGAAAGGACCCGCGGGUGGACUGGCAGGAGUCAGACCACAGCUAGUGGCUGCAGUUCCCGAGCCUGCACUAGCGGUGCAGAAGGGUUUGCCCAUCGCUGUCCCGCAUCGGCAGAGGGGGUUCCGGCGGAGGGGGUCCGGGAACACAGCCGCGGGGGCGCGCGGGAGCAGGGCUUCGCCAUUAAGAGGCGCCGCCGGCUUUUCACAAUCGAUAGUUAUCGAAGCAAUGGGUGGAUGCUUACUUUGGAAAAAAUGAAUGUCCUCCCCCGCCUCUCCCUGAUACUGAGCAACAGGAGGAAGCCACCCACAGCCUUGGGUCGACUUACCGCUGGGCUCUGCCCACCUCCAUCGCCGGCUCCGCCCCGCCGCCCACGGGUCCGCGCACCGGAGACCUGAUCACCCUCCCCACCUGUCCGUGGCUCGCGGCACCCGUGGAGCCCUGAAAGCCACCCUGACCGGCCGACCUGUGAGCUGAGACUCUCCUGUUACACACCCGAAGUCCUAGACUAGUCCCCACUCUUCCCUGUAUCAGACCAGCAUCCUGAGAGUGGGGACCAACUGCCAGGAGGCACUAUGAGCCCAGGCGUGGGUGUAGGAAAGGCAGGCUCAGGAACCAGGCAGCACAGGGCCAGGCGCUGUGCCAAAGGCCCUACAUAUAUUAUUCCCCUUCAUCCUCAUAGCAUCUAGCCAGGUGGUUAUUAUCUCCAUUUUACAGAAGUCCUGAGAGGCUAAGUGCCUUGCCCACGCCUCACAGCAGGGAGUAGCCAAGGGCAGAGUGAUUCCCUUCCCACUGCGUGGUACCCCUCAGCCUUUCACAGGGCAGCUGUGGUCAACACCUUUGGGUGGGGAAGAGAUGAGGCAGGCAAAGAGGAAAGGCCGCGUUACCAAGAUGCCUGUGUAUGAGGAUUCCUGUGUGUGUGUGUGUGUGUGUGUGCGCGCGCGUGCGUGUGUGCGUGCAAGGGCCACCUCCUUUGUGUAGGCAUAUGUGGAUAUAACCAAUAAACAUGAGCCUUCUGCUGCCUCUAUGCUUCUGUGGCAAUGAAGCACCAAGAUUUUGUUUCACAUGGGGGGCUUGUGGAUCUCCUUACAUCAUUUUAAAGUUUCAGUGUGUUUGUAUGUAUCUAAGUAUAUCUGCAAAGCUGAGGGGUAGGGGGUGCUGACCUUGACACUUUACUGUCUCAAAAUCCCAGGAAUUAACAUGCUCUCCCCACCCCACCCUCAGAUCUAUUCUGCACGUUGAUGUUGAAGGGAAGAAGGAAGCUUAGAGAAAGAAGAGGGACAAGAGGAGGGAGGAGACACUCCAGAAGAGUUGGUGCUUGAGUGGGUUGACCUUUGUCUCUACAAGGAAUGAGGCGUUCAUCUGUGGACCUGUAUCUCUGCAAGCUGGAUGAGUUUGUAACAGAGGACAGUAGAGGAAGUGGGACUUCUUGGAGUAUUCAUGUGUGUGUCUCCUUGUGUUGAGAUGAUAAGGGCUGCUUCCUCCUCAGUGGCCUUCCCUUCUCGAACUUGUGAAAAAUCCCUGUGAGAGGUACCUUAUUAAAGUCAAGAGCCUGGACUCUGGGAUGAGAAAGACCUAGAUUCCCUUCUCUACCUUUGGGCAAGCUAUUUAACCUCUCCAAGCCUAUUUCCCCCUCUGCAAAAUGGGGAUGACAUUUAGUACCACAAGGAGGAUUAAAUAAAAUAUCACAUGAAGGGGCACCUGGGAGGCUCAGUCACUUAAGCGUCCGACUAUUGAUUUUGGCUCAGGUCAUGAUCUCAUGGUUUGGUGUGUGAGAUAGAUCCUCAUGUAGGGCUCUGCGCACACACACUC
Acinonyx jubatus (cheetah) is the source of this 2244-nucleotide long non-coding RNA. RefSeq lists it as uncharacterized. The transcript has 2 exons. The record is from RefSeq and is a predicted model, not a curated record. NCBI's taxonomy places the organism in Eukaryota, Metazoa, Chordata, Mammalia, Carnivora, Felidae.